This 67-nucleotide transfer RNA is filed under the name Sthenoteuthis oualaniensis. RNAcentral's name for it is "tRNA-Gln". The record is from RNAcentral. Lineage: Eukaryota; Metazoa; Mollusca; Cephalopoda; Oegopsida; Ommastrephidae.
UACAUUGUGGUGUAAGGCACGUAAAUUUUUGGAUUUUAAGGAAAAGGCUCGUUACCUUUCGUUGUAA